GACGAACGCUGGCGGCGUGCCUAAUACAUGCCAGUAGAACGCUGAAGGAGGAGCUUGCUCUUCUGGAUGAGUUGCGAACGGGUGAGUAACGCGUAGGUAACCUGCCUGGUAGCGGGGGAUAACUAUUGGAAACGAUAGCUAAUACCGCAUAACAGUAGAUGUUGCAUGACAUUUGCUUAAAAGGUGCAAUUGCAUCACUACCAGAUGGACCUGCGUUGUAUUAGCUAGUUGGUGGGGUAACGGCUCACCAAGGCGACGAUACAUAGCCGACCUGAGAGGGUGGUCGGCCACACUGGGACUGAGACACGGCCCAGACUCCUACGGGAGGCAGCAGUAGGGAAUCUUCGGCAAUGGACGGAAGUCUGACCGAGCAACGCCGCGUGAGUGAAGAAGGUUUUCGGAUCGUAAAGCUCUGUUGUAAGAGAAGAACGAGUGUGAGAGUGGAAAGUUCACACUGUGACGGUAUCUUACCAGAAAGGGACGGCUAACUACGUG
Molecule: ribosomal RNA, 495 nt
Filed under: uncultured bacterium
Lineage: Bacteria
Description: partial 16S ribosomal RNA
Rfam family: Bacterial small subunit ribosomal RNA
Source: RNAcentral